CAACAGCUGAAAGGAGGUGAUCCAGUGGUUAGAGAUACAUUGGAGCGAGGUGUCGGAACAGUUCGGAGGACGCUGACUUAGGGGCAGCCCCCUAGGAUAGAAAAUCCCGAAUUGGUGUGUGCCUAACCGGCCCCACCUCCUGAGUUCUCGAAGGGCUGUUCGCAAAGCGGGCAGCCCU
RNAcentral lists this unclassified non-coding RNA (178 nucleotides) under Thalassococcus halodurans. RNAcentral describes it as "caulobacter sRNA CC2171". The record is from RNAcentral. Lineage: Bacteria; Pseudomonadati; Pseudomonadota; Alphaproteobacteria; Rhodobacterales; Roseobacteraceae.